RNAcentral lists this long non-coding RNA (1479 nucleotides) under Homo sapiens (human). RNAcentral's name for it is "HSALNT0239671". Lineage: Eukaryota; Metazoa; Chordata; Mammalia; Primates; Hominidae. The record is from RNAcentral.
CAGAAAAGUCUGGCUCCUCCCACCUCCUGCCCCAGGAGCCCUGCCGGGGGGAACAGUCAUCCAGCCCUUCUCUCCCAUCUAUCUUAUUUUGCCUGUGCUGCUGACAAUGGGGGCAUGAAGCCAUGGCUCUGUGGAGAACUUGCAGACAUUUCAGCGUCCUCCCUGAGCAAACGCUUAUAUCAGGGGUCACUGGCAGAGUUCCCUCUCCCAGGAGAUCCGGCGAAGUGAAGUGGGUGAGACGACAGCAGGGAGGGAUGAAAGAUGUUUCUGGGGUCCCAGAGAGUUGGCAGGCUCCAGGGAUGGGAAGUAGGGUGAACGGAGUACUAUUCACCACCACGUGCUCAGGAAAGGACUCAGUGCUGUGCCAGGAUUGUGGGGUUCAGGUUGUGGCAAAGCAAUUAUUCCAACCAUCUGGUAGCAUUUGAGGUUUUACCCCAACCCAGCUCAUGCUUUCCAUUUGCUAGUUGAGAAAACUGAGGUUAAAUGGUUCUCGAGAGCACACUGCUUUGAUUAUGCUUGGAACUCAGCUAGAGUCCACCCUUUUCCAGUCCCAUGUUACCCCCGCCUGUACUUUCAGCAGACCCAUGACCAGGAUGCAGGUUUGGUUUGGCUCUGGCCGCCAUCUGGUCCCUGCCACUCUCCCAGGUAGGGGCUGUGACUGUGCUUUCUCCAGUUUCCUCUUGCCCUCUGGGCUCUGGUCAGAGCCUGGCCACACUGGACAUGCCAGGCUGGCCCCUGGUGAGUGGUGACGUCCCACUUAGCACAUUGUCAUGCCACCCCCGGGCUGCAUCAGCAGCUGCCUGGCUGAAUAAUUCAUCAGACCUUGUUUACUCUUCCCUUCCUGGCUGUUAGUGGCUCUCAAAACCCCACCACAGCCCCCUCCCAGGUCCAGCUGCCCUGGCCUCCACCCUGCUCUCCAAUUUAGCCACCAGAAAGCUGCUCCACGACUGGGCCAUGCGCAUUGGCCAUGAAUUAUUCAGGCCUCAUUUGGCUGGAGCCAGGGUAGAUAUUGGGGCUGGAGGAGAGUUUGGGCCAUGCGGUCUGUGCCAUUUGGAGGGCACGUGGAGGAAGCAUGUGGAACACAGAGUUGUCUCUGUCUUCAUCUCCAUUCAAGCUGACACCCACGUCCUGUUGGAUCCAGAGUGAUCUGCCCAUUGUGAGCCCAGGGGAGCAGAGGAUGCCUCGGGGUGAGAGCUCCCCAACCUUCAAGCGCAGAGACCUGCACAGAGCAUACCAUCGGUGCUCAGGACAGCGGGCUGAUUGGCAGGCUGGCCUACAUCAAUCAACAAGAGGAUGACACAUUUCAUAUAAGGGGACUCCAGUUACAGGCCCGCCCAGCCCAUCUCCUCAAGGCACUCCUGUGAGCUGAGAAGGACAAGCACAUCCUUUCUGGCUUCUACCCUCAAAGAACUCAGCACUUUGCAGUUGAUUACUCCACAGCCCUUUGAUUUGUGAGAGAAACUGGCGGCAGGGCUGUCC